CAGCAGCCGCGGUAAUACAGAGGAUGCAAGCGUUAUCCGGAAUGAUUGGGCGUAAAGCGUGCGUAGGUGGUGGUUUAAGCCCGUUGUGAAAUCCCCGGGCUCAACCUGGGAAUGGCAGUGGAUACUGGCAAGCUAGAGUGUGUCAGAGGAUGGUGGAAUUCCCGGUGUAGCGGUGAAAUGCGUAGAGAUCGGGAGGAACAUCAGUGGCGAAGGCGGCCAUCUGGGACAACACUGACGCUGAGGCACGAAAGCGUGGGGAGCAAACAGGAUUAGAUACCCCCGUAGUCCCUGUCUCUUAUAC
Molecule: ribosomal RNA, 301 nt
Filed under: uncultured bacterium
Lineage: Bacteria
Description: partial 16S ribosomal RNA
Rfam family: Bacterial small subunit ribosomal RNA
Source: RNAcentral